RNAcentral lists this unclassified non-coding RNA (264 nucleotides) under plant metagenome. RNAcentral's name for it is "partial contains 5.8S ribosomal RNA, internal transcribed spacer 2, and large subunit ribosomal RNA". The record is from RNAcentral.
GAUCAUCGGCCCGGCCACGGGAGGCUUCGGGGUCAGCCUGUUCGAUCAGGCGGCGCCGGUCUAUGGCAUAGCCGCGGGCAUGCUGGUGAUCAGCGCGCUGCAGUACGCGCGGAUGAACCCGGCGCCGGUGGCGGUUAAGCGGGAAAAGAUGACCGCGGAAUCGCUGCUCGCCGGUCUGCGUUUCAUCCAUGGCAACAAGGUAAUUCUCGCCGCGAUCACGCUCGACAUGGUCGCGGUGCUGCUCGGCGGAGCGACCGCUUUGCU